GACUGCAUGGUGGUGCAGUUGGUAGCACCGUUAUCUGUCAGCAAGAAGGUCCUGGGUUCGACUCCCGAAGUGGGGUCU
Non-coding RNA from Crenichthys baileyi (White River springfish), 78 nucleotides. The record is from the annotation of a GenBank genome assembly. Lineage: Eukaryota; Metazoa; Chordata; Actinopteri; Cyprinodontiformes; Goodeidae.